UCCCUGGUGGUCUAGUGGUUAGGAUUCGGCGCUUUCACUGCCGUGGCCCGGGUUCAAUCCCUGGUCAGGGAA
This 72-nucleotide transfer RNA is filed under the name Tursiops truncatus (common bottlenose dolphin). RNAcentral describes it as "tRNA-Glu (TTC) (tRNA-Glu-TTC-6-1)". It matches the Rfam family "tRNA". Rfam says of the family: Transfer RNA (tRNA) molecules are approximately 80 nucleotides in length. Their secondary structure includes four short double-helical elements and three loops (D, anti-codon, and T loops). The record is from Rfam by way of RNAcentral. RNAcentral also lists the same sequence under 4 other names. Lineage: Eukaryota; Metazoa; Chordata; Mammalia; Artiodactyla; Delphinidae.